UGUGAAUGCUCUCUCUUUUCCCAGGCCCUUCAGCAAUUUAUCAUGCUUUCUGUUCAGGUGCAUCUGAAACAAGUCUUACAAGAGAGAAGAGCCCAUUAAUCCCCAUGACAUCUCUUCAGGACACCUCCAUGUGAGCCCCAUGGACCAGAGAGAUCCCCACAUGGCAUAGUGAUAACUGCUGCUGAACCCCAAAACCCAAGAGCCACCCUCUUUUUGAGGAAGAGUUUGAGAGGUGGAGAGGAGGCAGGGGAGAAAAACCCUCAGACCAAAGCAAACAGUGCCACAAAAAAAUGUUGCAAUUCAACCCAAUUUUGAGGGAAAUGCCCCUGAUAACUUCUCAGCUCCGAAGAGAAGCAGUGGAGGCUGGGGCCACUGAGUCUCCAUGGAAAUCAGAGAGGAGUGAUGCUCUGGAGAGGCACCUGGUUUAUCUUCCACUUCGGUCCAACUUGGAGAUGGAAUUGAAAUCACAAGUAUGUGUGAAAAUGGCUGGGGAGCCUUUAUUGGGAGUUAUACUGAAGGUUACUUCACACAACCACAGACUGGGCUUCAGCAGUUGCAGCAGAUAAGUUUUUACCAUGGACCCUGUGUAAAGAAGAGACCUAGCAAGGAGAAUGAAGGCUUGUUCUUCUGCCAGUUCACUUGCUACUUAGCCCUGGGUGAGCACUUUUGGCUCAGACUUUCAGGAGCGGUCACUCUGUCCCCAAGCCCAUUAAUGUGACAUUAUUUUAUGCUCAAUGCUGAGUAUCAACAGCCCCAAAGGAGAUGGACAGGCAUUAGCCCCCAGCCAGGCAUCUCCAGGCUCUUCCAAGGGGAGCCAAGUGCCCUGGCCAUGCUCUGGCUCAGCCCAGCUUCACACAGCUUCGAUUCUGCUUAUCCCCACUCAAGCAGUAUAAUGCCUUUAUCUCAUAGACACUUUGGGUAGAAGGGACACCUUCAAAGUAAGGUCAUCUUUCAUGUAAAAUCAGCUUUUUCCUGGGCUAGGACAGGGGCCUAAAGAUAUGGGUUUUCCCAAGGUGUGGUCUGUGGUGUGUGAUUUAGUGCAAAGACAGUGCAAGAGUGAAAGAGAAAAAACAAACCGUGAAGUGAGCUGAAAAUCCAGCUCCUAGAAUUAGAGGAGUUAAGAGCACUAGGUCCUGCCUUAACAGAGUUCAGACAAUUAAAGUAAGCCAUUACUAUUAAGGAUUAAUUAGCUCAGCUGGGAUGGGUGAUAACAAGUGCCCUUCAGUGGGUUGUGACCAUGAAGAUGCUGUAUCCAUGGCCCAUCUUUGAGAAGCUACAGACUUUCUCCAGAGAACAGGUAUUAGAAAAAAAUCUGCUCAGUAUUCCCAAAUAUGAAGGUUUCAUCCUGGAAAGGCAGGAGCUUAGUGAAAGCAGAGUAGAAAACAGCCACUUCAUUCUAACCCAUAUCAUACAAUGUAGUGAUUGUUUUAUUUCCUUCUAGGCUGGGAGCAUGAUGCCAUAUGCAGAACAUGAAGCAGGAUUCAGUGAAUUUAUUCCUUUAGCAUUUUUGAAAACCGCCACAUUUGUGUAUGCAGCGUGUGGAAUUUGUCAUGCAAACACCUAUGU
RNAcentral lists this long non-coding RNA (1566 nucleotides) under Parus major (Great Tit). Its description in RNAcentral is "lncRNA (ENSPMJG00000018342.1)". Lineage: Eukaryota; Metazoa; Chordata; Aves; Passeriformes; Paridae. The record is from RNAcentral.